GUUGUAGAGAAAUCCAACAGCAAGCCUCUCGGGGUAGUGACACUGCAAAAUGUUUGCAGUCUCUCGAGCAGUCUUAAUCGGCGAGUUGCUCAAUGACCACCCGGUGAAGUCUAUCAGACACACCAUUUGCUCUUGAUCCUCCGGUAAACUGAGGAGAGCAUUCUCUAGGACAUACACCAGAUGCCUGAGUUGGUUGUCAUGUGAGGAUGUGUUCUGCAACCUGAACACGUGGCGACUUCAUGCUGGACGAAUCAUAUGUAUUACUUCGACAAUUAAGCUGCCAAGAGAAAUGAAGAAGAUGGAGUGGAGCUCACCCAAAGAAUCUCCUCUGGCUUGCAUGCAUCGGUGCAGAAUGUUAAGCUACUUCCGGAUAAAGGGCCAAUCGCAGCUCUCAGCUCUUUGAUCUGUUCAGAAGAAUACUUAUAUAUGGAAGCUUAUAGAGGAAUCCGCUAAUCCAACUAAUAUAUGAAAGCUUAGAUAUGAUCCAAUGGCUGCUUGCACAACAUGAUCAUUGAUCCUAUGACCGAAAAACUGGCUUAUUAGCUAAUUUAUUUCAACAAAAAAUAGAACUGUGAUUGAAUUCAUAAAUAGUAGACAAUCAUAUUUCUGAUAAAAGACAUAAAGAGUCAAUAUCUGAAACUCUAGUAGGUGAUUGGAAAUCGGCAUACUCAAUUUCUUUUACCUGUGAUGCCGGAAUGCUCAUCAUUAUCAACUACAUACCAUACGCAAAAUUAUACUCUGAAGUCAUAAACUUUUGAGUCAUUUAGAUAGAGGAUUAUGAAGACGAUAUGCUUAGAUGUGUUUGCUUACCUUUUGUUCUUGAUCCUUA
Musa acuminata subsp. malaccensis (wild Malaysian banana) is the source of this 829-nucleotide non-coding RNA. Lineage: Eukaryota; Viridiplantae; Streptophyta; Magnoliopsida; Zingiberales; Musaceae. The record is from RefSeq and is a predicted model, not a curated record.